AGCUAGCUGACGAGUCCGAAGUAGGACGAAAUGCGCAUCCUGGAU
Trichobilharzia regenti is the source of this 45-nucleotide non-coding RNA. NCBI's taxonomy places the organism in Eukaryota, Metazoa, Platyhelminthes, Trematoda, Strigeidida, Schistosomatidae. The record is from Rfam.